This 405-nucleotide ribosomal RNA is filed under the name uncultured bacterium. RNAcentral describes it as "partial 16S ribosomal RNA". It matches the Rfam family "Bacterial small subunit ribosomal RNA", at positions 30 to 526 of the family's 1533-position model. The record is from RNAcentral.
AUUGAACGCUGGCGGCAGGCUUAACACAUGCAAGUCGAACGAGUGGCGGACGGGUGAGUAAUGCUUGGGAAUCUAGCUUAUGGAGGGGGAUAACUACGGGAAACUGUAGCUAAUACCGCGUACCAUAGGAUGAGCCCAAGUGGGAUUAGGUAGUUGGUGUGGUAAAGGCCCACCAAGCCGACGAUCUCUAGCUGGUCUGAGAGGAUGACCAGCCACCCUGGAACUGGUACACGGCCCAGACUCCUACGGGAUGCCGCAGUGGGGAAUAUUGCGCAAUGUGGGCAUCCUGACGCUUCCAUGCCGCUUGAAUGAAAAGGGCCUUCUGUUUGUAAAGUUCUUUCGGUAGCGAGGCGUUAACUACAGAAGAAGCACCGGCUAACUCCGUGCCAGCAGCCGCGGUAAUUC